RNAcentral lists this transfer RNA (71 nucleotides) under Camelus bactrianus (Bactrian camel). It matches the Rfam family "tRNA". Rfam says of the family: Transfer RNA (tRNA) molecules are approximately 80 nucleotides in length. The record is from Rfam by way of RNAcentral. RNAcentral also lists the same sequence under 2 other names. Lineage: Eukaryota; Metazoa; Chordata; Mammalia; Artiodactyla; Camelidae.
GAGGGUAUAGCUCAGUGGUAGAGCGCAUGCUAGCAUGCAUAAGGUCCUGGGUUCAAUUCCCAGUACCUCUG